AUACAGAGGGUGCGAGCGUUAAUCGGAAUUACUGGGCGUAAAGCGCGCGUAGGCGGCUACUUAAGUCAGAUGUGAAAUCCCCGGGCUCAACCUGGGAACUGCAUCUGAUACUGGGUAGCUAGAGUUUUGGAGAGGGAAGUAGAAUUUCAGGUGUAGCGGUGAAAUGCAUAGAGAUCUGAAGGAAUACCAGUGGCGAAGGCGACUUCCUGGCCAAAAACUGACGCUGAGGUGCGAAAGCGUGGGUAGCAAACGGGAUUAGAAACCCGAGUAGUCC
Molecule: ribosomal RNA, 274 nt
Filed under: uncultured bacterium
Lineage: Bacteria
Description: partial 16S ribosomal RNA
Rfam family: Bacterial small subunit ribosomal RNA
Source: RNAcentral